GGUGAACGCUGGCGGUAGGCCUAACACAUGCAAGUCGAACGGCAGCACAGUAAGAGCUUGCUCUUACGGGUGGCGAGUGGCGGACGGGUGAGGAAUACAUCGGAAUCUACUUUUUCGUGGGGGAUAACGUAGGGAAACUUACGCUAAUACCGCAUACGACCUACGGGUGAAAGCAGGGGAUCUUCGGACCUUGCGCGAUUGAAUGAGCCGAUGUCGGAUUAGCUAGUUGGCGGGGUAAAGGCCCACCAAGGCGACGAUCCGUAGCUGGUCUGAGAGGAUGAUCAGCCACACUGGAACUGAGACACGGUCCAGACUCCUACGGGAGGCAGCAGUGGGGAAUAUUGGACAAUGGGCGCAAGCCUGAUCCAGCCAUACCGCGUGGGUGAAGAAGGCCUUCGGGUUGUAAAGCCCUUUUGUUGGGAAAGAAAAGCAGCAGGUUAAUACCCCGCUGUUCUGACGGUACCCAAAGAAUAAGCACCGGCUAACGUCGUG
Molecule: ribosomal RNA, 492 nt
Filed under: uncultured bacterium
Lineage: Bacteria
Description: partial 16S ribosomal RNA
Rfam family: Bacterial small subunit ribosomal RNA
Source: RNAcentral